GAUGAAGAACGCAGCGAAAUGCGAUAAUUAAUGUGAAUUGCAGAAUUCAGUGAAUCAUCGAGUCUUUGAACGCACAUUGCGCCCCUUGGUAUUCCGAGGGGCAUGCCUGUUCGAGCGUCAUUACACCACUCAAGCACCGCUUGGUAUUGGGCAUCGUCCGUCGAAAGGCGGGCGUGCCUCGAAGACCUCGGCGGGGUUUCUCCAACUUCGGGCGUAGUAGAGUUAAAUCAAAACGUCUUAUAAGCUUGGUGAGAUCUCAUUGCCGUUAAACCUUUUAUUUUUUCAGGUUGACCUCGGAUCAGGUAGGGAUACCCGCUGAACUUAAGCAUAUCAAUAAGCGGAGGA
This 345-nucleotide unclassified non-coding RNA is filed under the name soil metagenome. Its description in RNAcentral is "partial contains 5.8S ribosomal RNA, internal transcribed spacer 2, and large subunit ribosomal RNA". The stretch from base 1 to 120 matches the Rfam family "5.8S ribosomal RNA", at positions 35 to 154 of the family's 154-position model. The record is from RNAcentral.